UAAGGUGAUAUGAACCGUUAUAACCGGCGAUACCCGAAUGGGGAAACCCAGUGUGAUUCGUCACACUAUCAUUAACUGAAUCCAUAGGUUAAUGAGGCGAACCGGGGGAACUGAAACAUCUAAGUACCCCGAGGAAAAGAAAUCAACCGAGAUUCCCCCAGUAGCGGCGAGCGAACGGGGAGGAGCCCAGAGCCUGAAUCAGCAUGUGUGUUAGUGGAAGCGUCUGGAAAGGCGCGCGAUACAGGGUGACAGCCCCGUACACAAAAGCGCAUGUGCUGUGAGCUCGAUGAGUAGGGCGGGACACGUGGUAUCCUGUCUGAAUAUGGGGGGACCAUCCUCCAAGGCUAAAUACUCCUGACUGACCGAUAGUGAACCAGUACCGUGAGGGAAAGGCGAAAAGAACCCCGGCGAGGGGAGUGAAAAAGAACCUGAAACCGUGUACGUACAAGCAGUGGGAGCACAGGUUUACCUGUGUGACUGCGUACCUUUUGUAUAAUGGGUCAGCGACUUAUAUUCUGUAGCAAGGUUAACCGAAUAGGGGAGCCGGAGGGAAACCGAGUCUUAACCGGGCGUUAAGUUGCAGGGUAUAGACCCGAAACCCGGUGAUCUAGCCAUGGGCAGGUUGAAGGUUGGGUAACACUAACUGGAGGACCGAACCGACUAAUGUUGAAAAAUUAGCGGAUGACCUGUGGCUGGGGGUGAAAGGCCAAUCAAACCGGGAGAUAGCUGGUUCUCCCCGAAAGCUAUUUAGGUAGCGCCUCGUGAAUUCAUCUCCGGGGGUAGAGCACUGUUUCGGCUAGGGGGCCAUCCCGGCUUACCAACCCGAUGCAAACUGCGAAUACCGGAGAAUGUUAUCACGGGAGACACACGGCGGGUGCUAACGUCCGUCGUGAAGAGGGAAACAACCCAGACCGCCAGCUAAGGUCCCAAAGUCAUGGUUAAGUGGGAAACGAUGUGGGAAGGCCCAGACAGCCAGGAUGUUGGCUUAGAAGCAGCCAUCAUUUAAAGAAAGCGUAAUAGCUCACUGGUCGAGUCGGCCUGCGCGGAAGAUGUAACGGGGCUAAACCAUGCACCGAAGCUGCGGCAGCGACACUGUGUGUUGUUGGGUAGGGGAGCGUUCUGUAAGCCUGUGAAGGUGUGUCGUGAGGCAUGCUGGAGGUAUCAGAAGUGCGAAUGCUGACAUAAGUAACGAUAAAGCGGGUGAAAAGCCCGCUCGCCGGAAGACCAAGGGUUCCUGUCCAACGUUAAUCGGGGCAGGGUGAGUCGACCCCUAAGGCGAGGCCGAAAGGCGUAGUCGAUGGGAAACGGGUUAAUAUUCCCGUACUUGGUGUUACUGCGAAGGGGGGACGGAGAAGGCUAUGUUGGCCGGGCGACGGUUGUCCCGGUUUAAGCGUGUAGGUGUGUGUUCCAGGUAAAUCCGGUUCACUUUAACACUGAGGCGUGAUGACGAGGCACUACGGUGCUGAAGCAACAAAUGCCCUGCUUCCAGGAAAAGCCUCUAAGCAUCAGGUAACAUCAAAUCGUACCCCAAACCGACACAGGUGGUCAGGUAGAGAAUACCAAGGCGCUUGAGAGAACUCGGGUGAAGGAACUAGGCAAAAUGGUGCCGUAACUUCGGGAGAAGGCACGCUGACACGUAGGUGAAGUGAUUUACUCAUGGAGCUGAAGUCAGUCGAAGAUACCAGCUGGCUGCAACUGUUUAUUAAAAACACAGCACUGUGCAAACACGAAAGUGGACGUAUACGGUGUGACGCCUGCCCGGUGCCGGAAGGUUAAUUGAUGGGGUCAGCGCAAGCGAAGCUCCUGAUCGAAGCCCCGGUAAACGGCGGCCGUAACUAUAACGGUCCUAAGGUAGCGAAAUUCCUUGUCGGGUAAGUUCCGACCUGCACGAAUGGCGUAAUGAUGGCCAGGCUGUCUCCACCCGAGACUCAGUGAAAUUGAACUCGCUGUGAAGAUGCAGUGUACCCGCGGCAAGACGGAAAGACCCCGUGAACCUUUACUAUAGCUUGACACUGAACAUUGAGCCUUGAUGUGUAGGAUAGGUGGGAGGCUUUGAAGCGUGGACGCCAGUCUGCGUGGAGCCGACCUUGAAAUACCACCCUUUAAUGUUUGAUGUUCUAACGUGGACCCGUGAUCCGGGUUGCGGACAGUGUCUGGUGGGUAGUUUGACUGGGGCGGUCUCCUCCUAAAGAGUAACGGAGGAGCACGAAGGUUGGCUAAUCCUGGUCGGACAUCAGGAGGUUAGUGCAAUGGCAUAAGCCAGCUUGACUGCGAGCGUGACGGCGCGAGCAGGUGCGAAAGCAGGUCAUAGUGAUCCGGUGGUUCUGAAUGGAAGGGCCAUCGCUCAACGGAUAAAAGGUACUCCGGGGAUAACAGGCUGAUACCGCCCAAGAGUUCAUAUCGACGGCGGUGUUUGGCACCUCGAUGUCGGCUCAUCACAUCCUGGGGCUGAAGUAGGUCCCAAGGGUAUGGCUGUUCGCCAUUUAAAGUGGUACGCGAGCUGGGUUUAGAACGUCGUGAGACAGUUCGGUCCCUAUCUGCCGUGGGCGCUGGAGAACUGAGGGGGGCUGCUCCUAGUACGAGAGGACCGGAGUGGACGCAUCACUGGUGUUCGGGUUGUCAUGCCAAUGGCACUGCCCGGUAGCUAAAUGCGGAAGAGAUAAGUGCUGAAAGCAUCUAAGCACGAAACUUGCCCCGAGAUGAGUUCUCCCUGAGACUUAGAGUCUCCUGAAGGAACGUUGAAGACGACGA
RNAcentral lists this ribosomal RNA (2751 nucleotides) under Salmonella enterica subsp. enterica serovar Kingabwa. RNAcentral describes it as "partial 23S ribosomal RNA". It matches the Rfam family "Bacterial large subunit ribosomal RNA". The record is from RNAcentral. Lineage: Bacteria; Pseudomonadati; Pseudomonadota; Gammaproteobacteria; Enterobacterales; Enterobacteriaceae.